RNAcentral lists this ribosomal RNA (253 nucleotides) under uncultured bacterium. Its description in RNAcentral is "partial 16S ribosomal RNA". It matches the Rfam family "Bacterial small subunit ribosomal RNA", at positions 524 to 776 of the family's 1533-position model. The record is from RNAcentral.
UACGUAGGGUGCGAGCGUUAAUCGGAAUUACUGGGCGUAAAGCGUGCGCAGGCGGCUUUGCAAGACAGAUGUGAAAUCCCCGGGCUCAACCUGGGAACUGCAUUUGUGACUGCAAGGCUAGAGUACGGCAAAGGGGGAUGGAAUUCCGCGUGUAGCAGUGAAAUGCGUAGAUAUGCGGAGGAACACCAAUGGCGAAGGCAAUCCCCUGGGCCUGUACUGACGCUCAUGCACGAAAGCGUGGGGAGCAAACAGG